CUCAAAGUACGAGUGUCCAAAACACUCCCUCUUACUGGAACUCAACCGGAUGACCAAACAAAGUGCUGCCGCUCUGCUCUCCUUCUUCCUGGUGCAGUAAACAGAAAAAAAAGGAGUGUUUUCUCAGACUAAGUAGGUCAUCAGCUCUUAUUGAACAGACCAUUUUUCCUGACAAUGGACAUCACCUACCCUGGGGAGGAAAACAGAGGACAAACUGCUCUCAGCAGACUUGUAUUGCUGCUGUUUCUUGCAGCCUGUCGGCCUGUGAUGUGUUUAAAUGAAGAGCAGAAGGACCUGGGAAACACAAAUGAUGGACCUGCCAACGUGUCAAUCUCAGGCCCUGAUCUCAUGAGUUCCGGAGGCAGCUACACCUACAUCUGUGACGCCCACUGUCGGCCAUCCUGCCUCUACAUGUGGAAGACGGAUGACGACCCGUGGUUUCGUGGUCAAGGGAAUGUCAUUUCUGUCACUCCUCGAAAUGAAAACACCAAAAAUCUCUCCUGCAAAGCCACCAACACCGUAUCUGGGCUGUUUGUCACCAUGACUCGAAGCAUAGGUCUGAUAACGGGCCCGUCCAAAGUGCAGAUCAAAGGCCCAGACGUUGUUGAAAUUGGCCAAGAGUACCAGUUUGUGUGUACGACCGGAUGCCACCCCCCGUGUCGCUACGUGUCGUCUGUGGGCAGUAAUGCAGUGAGAGGCAACGUGAUCGACAUGACAGUGGAUCAGCCACUGAAAUCAAUCACUAUCAAGUGUGAGGCACAAAACACUGCUUCAGGGUUGACAGUCACCGUUUUCAAAACUGUGCGCGUAGCAGGAGUCCAUCGCAGCCGAGCGACCUUCUUAGAGGUAACUCAGGUUGGACUGCUGGUUGCAUUUAUCAAUUCAGGUUUCUUCACUCUAUGAUCGAGCACAUACUGUACCGCUGUGGCAUUGUUGUAUACGGAAAAAAGAAAAAAAAUCAGAUUUUUCACAUCAUUUUAUUGAUCAGUGUACUUGUUUUCCAUCUGUGUUGAACCAAAGUCCUCACCAACAGUGAUCUCCUGUGUUUCAUGCUGAAUAAAGGUGGAGUCAGUUUAGGGACA
This 1082-nucleotide long non-coding RNA is filed under the name Gouania willdenowi (blunt-snouted clingfish). Its description in RNAcentral is "lncRNA (ENSGWIG00000008273.1)". Lineage: Eukaryota; Metazoa; Chordata; Actinopteri; Blenniiformes; Gobiesocidae. The record is from RNAcentral.